GAAAUGCGAUAAUUAAUGUGAAUUGCAGAAUUCAGUGAAUCAUCGAGUCUUUGAGCGCACAUUGCGCCCCCUGGUAUUCCGGGGGGCAUGCCUAUCCGAGCGUCAUUGCUGCCCUCAAGCACGGCUUGUGUGUUGGGCUUCCGUCCCUGGCAACGGGGACGGGCCCAAAAGGCAGUGGCGGCACCAUGUCUGGUCCUCGAGCGUAUGGGGCUUUGUCACCCGCUCCCGUAGGUCCAGCUGGCAGCUAGCCUCGCAACCAAUCUUUUUAACCAGGUUGACCUCGGAUCAGGUAGGGAUACCCGCUGAACUUAAGC
RNAcentral lists this unclassified non-coding RNA (314 nucleotides) under plant metagenome. RNAcentral describes it as "partial contains 5.8S ribosomal RNA, internal transcribed spacer 2, and large subunit ribosomal RNA". The stretch from base 1 to 105 matches the Rfam family "5.8S ribosomal RNA", at positions 50 to 154 of the family's 154-position model. The record is from RNAcentral.